ACUUAAGCAUAUCAAUAAGCGGAGGAAAAGAAACUAACAAGGAUUCCCCUAGUAACUGCGAGUGAAGCGGGAAAAGCUCAAAUUUAAAAUCUGGCAGUCUUUGAUUGUCCGAGUUGUAAUCUGGAGAAGCGUUUUCCGUGUCGGACCGUGUACAAGUCUUCUGGAAUGAAGCGUCAUAGAGGGUGAGAAUCCCGUCUCUGACAUGGACUACCGAUGCUUUUGUGAUACGCUCUCAAAGAGUCGAGUUGUUUGGGAAUGCAGCUCAAAAUGGGUGGUAAAUUCCAUCUAAAGCUAAAUAUAGGCGAGAGACCGAUAGCGAACAAGUACCGUGAGGGAAAGAUGAAAAGCACUUUGGAAAGAGAGUUAAACAGUACGUGAAAUUGUUGAAAGGGAAACGCUUGAAGUCAGUCGCGUCGGCCGAGACUCAACCUGGCAUUUGUGCUUGGCGUACUUCUCGGUUGACGGGUCAACAUCAGUUUUGACCGUUAGAAAAAGGUGGGAGGAAUGUGGCAUCCUUCGGGGUGUGUUAUAGCCUUCCACUAUGUGACGGUCGGGACUGAGGAAUUCAGCACGCCUUUUGGCCGGGGUUCGCCCACGUCCGUGCUUAGGAUGUUGACAUAAUGGCUUUAAGCGACCCGUCUUGAAACACGGACCAAGGAGUCUAACAUGCCUGCGAGUGUUUGGGUGAAAAACCCGAGCGCGUAAUGAAAGUGAAAAUUGAGAUCUCUGUCAUGGAGAGCAUCAAUGCCCGGACCAGACCUUUUGUGACGGAUCUGCGGUUGAGCAUGUAUGUUGGGACCCGAAAGAUGGUGAACUAUGCCUGAAUAGGGUGAAGCCAGAGGAAACUCUGGUGGAGGCUCGUAGCGAUUCUGACGUGCAAAUCGAUCGUCGAA
Molecule: ribosomal RNA, 893 nt
Filed under: Athelopsis glaucina
Lineage: Eukaryota; Fungi; Basidiomycota; Agaricomycetes; Atheliales; Atheliaceae
Description: partial 28S ribosomal RNA
Rfam family: Eukaryotic large subunit ribosomal RNA
Source: RNAcentral